CCUACGAGUGGCUACAGUGGGGAAUCUUUGUCAAUGGGCGCGAGCCUGAACCAGCCACGUAGCGUGAAGGAUGACUGCCCUCCGGGUUGUAAACUUCUUUUAUAAAGGAGUAAAGUGAGGCACGUGUGUCUUCUUGUAUGUACUUUAUGAAUAAGGAUCGGCAAACUACGUGCCAGCGGCCGCGGUAAUACGGAGGAUCCGAGCGUUAUCCGGAUUUAUUGGGUUUAAAGGGAGCGUAGAUGGGUUGUUAAGUCAGUUGUGAAAGUUUGCGGCUCAACCGUAGAAUUGCAAUUGAUACUGGCAGUCUUGAGUACAGUUGAGGUAGGCGGAAUUCGUGGUGUAGCGGUGAAAUGCUGAGAGAUCACGAAGAACUCCGGUUGCGAAGGCAGCUUACUAAACUGCCACUGACAUUGAUGCGCGAAAGUGUGGGUAUCAAACAGGAUUAGAUACCCUGGUAGUC
This 460-nucleotide ribosomal RNA is filed under the name uncultured bacterium. RNAcentral's name for it is "partial 16S ribosomal RNA". It matches the Rfam family "Bacterial small subunit ribosomal RNA", at positions 338 to 795 of the family's 1533-position model. The record is from RNAcentral.